This 443-nucleotide ribosomal RNA is filed under the name uncultured bacterium. RNAcentral describes it as "partial 16S ribosomal RNA". It matches the Rfam family "Bacterial small subunit ribosomal RNA", at positions 338 to 795 of the family's 1533-position model. The record is from RNAcentral.
CCUACGGGUGGCAGCAGUGGGGAAUAUUGGGCAAUGGGCGCAAGCCUGACCCAGCAACGCCGCGUGAAGGAAGAAGGCUUUCGGGUUGUAAACUUCUUUUCUCAGGGACGAAGCAAGUGACGGUACCUGAGGAAUAAGCCCCGGCUAACUACGUGCCAGCAGCCGCGGUAAUAAGUAGGUGGCAAGCGUUAUCCGGAUUUACUGGGUGUAAAGGGCGUGUAGGCGGGACUGCAAGUCAGAGGUGAAAACCACGGGCUCAACCUGUGGCCUGCAUUUGAAACUGUAGUUCUCGAGUACUGGAGAGGUAGCCGGAAUUCCUGGUGUAGCGGUGAAAUGCGUAGAUAUUAGGAGGAACACCAGUGGCGAAGGCGGUCUGCUGGACAUCAACUGACGCUGAGGCGCGAAGGCGUGGGGAGCAAACAGGAUUAGAUACCCGAGUAGUC